This 1201-nucleotide ribosomal RNA is filed under the name metagenome. RNAcentral's name for it is "SSU rRNA". It matches the Rfam family "Eukaryotic small subunit ribosomal RNA", at positions 528 to 1759 of the family's 1831-position model. The record is from RNAcentral.
AAUCCUUUAACGAGGAUCAAUUGGAGGGCAAGUCUGGUGCCAGCAGCCGCGGUAAUUCCAGCUCCAAUAGCGUAUAUUAAAGUUGUUGCGGUUAAAAAGCUCGUAGUUGGAUCUUCGGCCGAGGAAUGCGGUCCCCCGUUGGGCGGUUACUGCUUUUCCUGGCCUAACUUACCGGUUCUUCGUUUUGUGCUCUUAAUUGAGUGCCUAACGUGACAGGAACGUUUACUUUGAAAAAAUUAGAGUGCUCAAAGCAGGCAUAUUGCCUGAAUAGUGGUGCAUGGAAUAAUGGAAUAAGAUCCUGGUUUUGUUUUAUUGGUUCGAAGCGAUGAUAAUGAUUGAAGGGGACAGACGGGGGCAUUCGUAUUGCGACGUUAGAGGUGAAAUUCUUGGAUCGUCGCAAGACGGACUACUGCGAAAGCAUUUGCCAAGAAUGUUUUCAUCAAUCAAGAACGAAAGUCUGAGGUUCGAAGGCGAUCAGAUACCGCCCUAGUUCAGACCGUAAACGAUGCCAACUUGCGAUCCACAGGCGUUAUAUAACGACCUUGUGGGAAGCAUCCGGGAAACCAAAGUUUUUGGGUUCCGGGGGAAGUAUGGUUGCAAAUCUGAAACUUAAAGGAAUUGACGGAAGGGCACCACCAGGAGUGGAGCCUGCGGCUUAAUUUGACUCAACACGGGAAAACUCACCCGGCCCGGACACCGUAAGGAUUGACAGAUUGAUUGCUCUUUCUUGAUUUGGUGGGUGGUGGUGCAUGGCCGUUCUUAGUUGGUGGAGCGAUUUGUCUGGUUAAUUCCGAUAACGAACGAGACUCUAGCCUGCUAAAUAGGCAGCGGACUUAUGUCCGCUGAACUUCUUAGAGGGACAAGCAGCUUCUAGCUGCACGAGAUUGAGCAAUAACAGGUCUGUGAUGCCCUUAGAUGUCCGGGGCUGCACGCGCGCUACACUGAAGGAUUCAAUAUGCUUCUCUACCUUACCCGGAAGGGUUAGGUAACCCGUUGAAACUCCUUCGUGAUAGGAAUAGGGAAUUGCAAUUAUUUCCCUUGAACGAGGAAUUCCUAGUAAGUGCGGGUCAUCAGCUCGCGCUGAUUACGUCCCUGCCCUUUGUACACACCGCCCGUCGCUACUACCGAUUGGAGAUUGACGAGAAGUGUCGGGAACGGUCUCUGGACUGCUUUCAGUAGCCCAGAGUACUGUGAACCUCAU